AGAGUUUUUUCCUGGCUCAGAAUGAAUGCUGGCGGCGUGCCUAACACAUGCAAGUCGAGCGGCAGCGCGAGUAGUUUACUACUUGGCGGCGAGCGGCGGACGGCUGAGUAACGCGUGGGAACGUGCCCCAAAGUGAGGAAUAACUGCCCGAAAGGGUAGCUAAUGCCGCAUAUGGUCUUCGGAUUAAAGGAUUUAUCCGCUUUGGGAGCGGCCCGCGUUAGAUUAGGUAGUUGGUAGGGUAAUGGCCUACCAAGCCGACGAUCUAUAGCUGGUCUGAGAGGAUGAUCAGCCAGACUGGGACUGAGACACGGCCCAGACUCCUACGGGAGGCAGCAGUGAGGAAUCUUCCACAAUGGGCGAAAGCCUGAUGGAGCAACGCCGCGUGAAGGAUGAAGGCCUUAGGGUUGUAAACUUCUUUUAUAAGUGAAGAAUAUGACGGUAACUUAUGAAUAAGCACCGGCUAACUACGUGCCAGCAGCCGCGGUCAUACGUAGGCGGCAAGCGUUGUCCGGAAUUAUUGGGCGUAAAGGGAGCGCAGGCGGGAAACUAAGCGGAUCUUAAAAGUGCGGGGCUCAACCCCGUGAUGGGGUCCGAACUGGUUUUCUUGAGUGCAGGAGAGGAAAGCGGAAUUCCCAGUGUAGCGGUGAAAUGCGUAGAUAUUGGGAAGAACACCAGUGGCGAAGGCGGCUUUCUGGACUGUAACUGACGCUGAGGCUCGAAAGCUAGGGUAGCGAACGGGAUUAGAUACCCCGGUAGUCCUAGCCGUAAACGAUGGAUACUAGGUGUGGGAGGUCAAACCCCGGUGCUGCAGUCAACGCAAUAAGUGACCCGCCCGAGUAGUACGUUCGCAAGAAUGAAACUCAAAGGAAUUGACGGGGGCCCGCACAAGCGGUGGAGCAUGUGGUUUAAUUCGAAGCAACGCGAAGAACCUUACCAGGUCUUGACAUACCUUCAAAGACCCCGGAGACGGGGGGAUAGCUAUGGAGGAUACAGGUGGUACAUGGUUGUCGUCAGCUCGUGUCGUGAGAUGUUGGGUUAAGUCCCGCAACGAGCGCAACCCUUGUCGUCAGUUGCCAGCAUUCAGUUGGGGACUCUGGCGAGACUGCCGGUAAGAAGCCGGAGGAAGGCGGGGAUGACGUCAAAUCAUCAUGCCCCUAAUGACCUGGGCAACACACGUGCUACAAUGGACGGAGACAGAGGGAAGCGAAGGAGCGAUCCGGAGCGAAACCGAUAAAGCCGUUCUCAGUUCGGAAAGCAGUCUGCAACUCGACUGCACGAAGAUGGAAUCGCUAGUAAUCGCGGAUCAGCAUGCCGCGGUGA
This 1320-nucleotide ribosomal RNA is filed under the name uncultured bacterium. Its description in RNAcentral is "partial 16S ribosomal RNA". It matches the Rfam family "Bacterial small subunit ribosomal RNA", at positions 8 to 1365 of the family's 1533-position model. The record is from RNAcentral.